CAGUAGCCACGGUAAUACGUAGGGUGCAAGCGUUAUCCGGAAUUAUUGGGCGUAAAGAGCUCGUAGGCGGUUUGUCGCGUCUGCUGUGAAAACUGGAGGCUCAACCUCCAGCCUGCAGUGGGUACGGGCAGACUAGAGUGCGGUAGGGGAGAUUGGAAUUCCUGGUGUAGCGGUGGAAUGCGCAGAUAUCAGGAGGAACACCGAUGGCGAAGGCAGAUCUCUGGGCCGUAACCGACGCUGAGGAGCGAAAGCGUGGGGAGCGAACAGGAUUAGAUACCCCCGUAGUCCCUGUCUCUUAUAA
RNAcentral lists this ribosomal RNA (301 nucleotides) under uncultured bacterium. RNAcentral describes it as "partial 16S ribosomal RNA". It matches the Rfam family "Bacterial small subunit ribosomal RNA", at positions 509 to 809 of the family's 1533-position model. The record is from RNAcentral.